UGCCUGACGGCAAUAGCGCCGUGGAACCACCUGAUCCCAUGCCGAACUCAGAAGUGAAACGCGGUAGCGCCGAUGGUAGUGUGGCAUUCGCCAUGCGAGAGUAGGACACUGCCAGGCA
RNAcentral lists this ribosomal RNA (118 nucleotides) under Aeromonas aquatica. Lineage: Bacteria; Pseudomonadati; Pseudomonadota; Gammaproteobacteria; Aeromonadales; Aeromonadaceae. The record is from RNAcentral.